Molecule: ribosomal RNA, 127 nt
Filed under: uncultured bacterium
Lineage: Bacteria
Description: partial 16S ribosomal RNA
Source: RNAcentral
CCGGUGCUUGCUAAAGAGGUACCGUCAUUGUGUUCUUCCCUCUCCACAGUGCUUUACGACCCGAAGGCCUUCAUCACACACGCGGCGUGGCUGGAUCAGGCUUUCGCCCAUUGUCUAAUAUUCCCCA